UCAGAUUGAACGCUGGCGGCAGGCCUAACACAUGCAAGUCGAGCGGUAGCACAGAGAGCUUGCUCUCGGGUGACGAGCGGCGGACGGGUGAGUAAUGUCUGGGAAACUGCCUGAUGGAGGGGGAUAACUACUGGAAACGGUAGCUAAUACCGCAUAACGUCGCAAGACCAAAGAGGGGGACCUUCGGGCCUCUUGCCAUCAGAUGUGCCCAGAUGGGAUUAGCUAGUAGGUGGGGUAACGGCUCACCUAGGCGACGAUCCCUAGCUGGUCUGAGAGGAUGACCAGCCACACUGGAACUGAGACACGGUCCAGACUCCUACGGGAGGCAGCAGUGGGGAAUAUUGCACAAUGGGCGCAAGCCUGAUGCAGCCAUGCCGCGUGUAUGAAGAAGGCCUUCGGGUUGUAAAGUACUUUCAGCGAGGAGGAAGGCAUUGUGGUUAAUAACCACAGUGAUUGACGUUACUCGCAGAAGAAGCACCGGCUAACUCCGUGCCAGCAGCCGCGGU
This 506-nucleotide ribosomal RNA is filed under the name Lelliottia amnigena. RNAcentral describes it as "bacterial SSU rRNA". It matches the Rfam family "Bacterial small subunit ribosomal RNA", at positions 24 to 521 of the family's 1533-position model. The record is from RNAcentral. Lineage: Bacteria; Pseudomonadati; Pseudomonadota; Gammaproteobacteria; Enterobacterales; Enterobacteriaceae.